AGAGUUUGAUCAUGGCUCAGGACGAACGCUGGCGGCGUGCCUAACACAUGCAAGUCGAGCGGAAAGGCCUCCUUCGGGAGGUACUCGAGCGGCGAACGGGUGAGUAACACGUGGACAACCAACCCUUCACAUCGGGAUACCCCGGGGGAAACUCGGAUCAAUACCGGAUAAUGCGCGACGCUGUUGGGCGUCGCACCAAAGGUAGCUUCGGCCUCUGGUGAAGGACGGGUCCGCGGCCCAUUAGCUUGUUGGUGGGGUAAUGGCCUACCAAGGCAACGAUGGGUAGCUGGUCUGAGAGGAUGAUCAGCCACACUGGGACUGAGAUACGGCCCAGACUCCUACGGGAGGCAGCAGUGGGGAAUAUUGCGCAAUGGGCGAAAGCCUGACGCAGCAACGCCGCGUGCGGGAGGAAGGCCUUCGGGUCGUAAACCGCUUUCAGGGGGGACGAAGCCACCAGGGUUAAUAGCCCAUGGGGUGACGGUACUCCCAGAAGAAGCCCCGGCUAACUACGUGCCAGCAGCCGCGGUAAUACGUAGGGGGCGAGCGUUGUCCGGAAUCAUUGGGCGUAAAGAGCGUGUAGGUGGCUUGGAAAGUCUUACGUGAAAGCCUGCGGCUCAACCGCAGAAGUGCGUGGGAAACUUCCUCGCUAGAGUCCGGAAGAGGAGAGCGGNNAAUUCCUGGUGUAGCGGUGGAAUGCGCAGAUAUCAGGAGGAACACCCGUGGCGAAGGCGGCUCUCUGGGACGGUACUGACACUGAGACGCGAAAGCGUGGGGAGCGAACAGGAUUAGAUACCCUAGUAGUCC
RNAcentral lists this ribosomal RNA (804 nucleotides) under uncultured bacterium. Its description in RNAcentral is "bacterial SSU rRNA". It matches the Rfam family "Bacterial small subunit ribosomal RNA", at positions 8 to 796 of the family's 1533-position model. The record is from RNAcentral.